RNAcentral lists this ribosomal RNA (431 nucleotides) under uncultured bacterium. RNAcentral's name for it is "partial 16S ribosomal RNA". It matches the Rfam family "Bacterial small subunit ribosomal RNA", at positions 29 to 507 of the family's 1533-position model. The record is from RNAcentral.
AACGAACGCUGGCGGCAGGCUUAACACAUGCAAGUCGAACGCCCCGCAAGGGGAGUGGCAGACGGGUGAGUAACACGUGGGAACAUGCCCAAAGGUACGGAAUAUUCUCGGGAAACUGAGAGCAAUACCGUAUGUGCCCGAAAGGGGAAAGAUUUAUCGCCUUUGGAUUGGCCCGCGUCGGAUUAGCUAGUUGGUGGGGUAAAAGCCUACCAAGGCGACGAUCCGUAGCUGGUCUGAGAGGACGACCAGCCACACUGGGACUGAGACACGGCCCAGACUCCUACGGGAGGCAGCAGUGGGGAAUCUUGGACAAUGGGCGCAAGCCUGAUCCAGCCAUGCCGCGUGGAUGAUGAAGGCCCUAGGGUUGUAAAAUCCUUUCGUUGGGGACGAUAAUGACGGUACCCAAAGAAGAAGCUCCGGCUAACUUCGUG